RNAcentral lists this long non-coding RNA (587 nucleotides) under Rattus norvegicus (Norway rat). RNAcentral's name for it is "long non-coding RNA NONRATT005579". The record is from RNAcentral. Lineage: Eukaryota; Metazoa; Chordata; Mammalia; Rodentia; Muridae.
CUAAGGAUCAUGUCUGCGAGUCAGGAUUCUCGGUAAGAAAGGCAUUUGCAAGAGGUUAAUGGCUACUUACCCCGCAGCUCCCUUCCGAAGGUCCCGCCGGGGAAAAGUUGAGAGACCCAUCGCACCAAACCUACCAGGUUGCGGGAGAAUCGAACCGGGAGGAACCGUCCGGGGAGGGGGGGGAAAUCCCAUGGCCGACGCUGACACCAGUGUGGAUACGGGAAAGGACGGCCUGGAUAGGGCGGAGGGCGCGAGGUUCGUCACGAGGCCUCGGCCUGUGGGGAUGCCGUACGCGAAGCUUGGGUACUGAAAGGCAAGAUGAGGUCGCGACAUAACGUGGGAAAAAGAAGAGGCGGCUGUGCGGCCCGGAGCCGGCUGGUCUGGUUGCCUCCCUAUGUUGGGCAGGGCGUGCGCGCGAGGGUUCCGGAGAAUUCUGGCGGUACCACUCGCGACAAGCAGGGGUGCCUGGGUCUUCAGCGAGUCCCUUCGUCGCGCUUGGAAUGUGGGUCGGGGAAGAAGAAACCGGCCGUUCGGGGUGCUGGUUUUCUUGACGGCCAGGACAGAGCCUAACCCGAAGGAGCGGCCGC